Molecule: ribosomal RNA, 2928 nt
Filed under: Staphylococcus aureus
Lineage: Bacteria; Bacillati; Bacillota; Bacilli; Caryophanales; Staphylococcaceae
Description: bacterial LSU rRNA
Rfam family: Bacterial large subunit ribosomal RNA
Source: RNAcentral
UUAAGUUAUUAAGGGCGCACGGUGGAUGCCUUGGCACUAGAAGCCGAUGAAGGACGUUACUAACGACGAUAUGCUUUGGGGAGCUGUAAGUAAGCUUUGAUCCAGAGAUUUCCGAAUGGGGAAACCCAGCAUGAGUUAUGUCAUGUUAUCGAUAUGUGAAUACAUAGCAUAUCAGAAGGCACACCCGGAGAACUGAAACAUCUUAGUACCCGGAGGAAGAGAAAGAAAAUUCGAUUCCCUUAGUAGCGGCGAGCGAAACGGGAAGAGCCCAAACCAACAAGCUUGCUUGUUGGGGUUGUAGGACACUCUAUACGGAGUUACAAAGGACGACAUUAGACGAAUCAUCUGGAAAGAUGAAUCAAAGAAGGUAAUAAUCCUGUAGUCGAAAAUGUUGUCUCUCUUGAGUGGAUCCUGAGUACGACGGAGCACGUGAAAUUCCGUCGGAAUCUGGGAGGACCAUCUCCUAAGGCUAAAUACUCUCUAGUGACCGAUAGUGAACCAGUACCGUGAGGGAAAGGUGAAAAGCACCCCGGAAGGGGAGUGAAAUAGAACCUGAAACCGUGUGCUUACAAGUAGUCAGAGCCCGUUAAUGGGUGAUGGCGUGCCUUUUGUAGAAUGAACCGGCGAGUUACGAUUUGAUGCAAGGUUAAGCAGUAAAUGUGGAGCCGUAGCGAAAGCGAGUCUGAAUAGGGCGUUUAGUAUUUGGUCGUAGACCCGAAACCAGGUGAUCUACCCUUGGUCAGGUUGAAGUUCAGGUAACACUGAAUGGAGGACCGAACCGACUUACGUUGAAAAGUGAGCGGAUGAACUGAGGGUAGCGGAGAAAUUCCAAUCGAACCUGGAGAUAGCUGGUUCUCUCCGAAAUAGCUUUAGGGCUAGCCUCAAGUGAUGAUUAUUGGAGGUAGAGCACUGUUUGGACGAGGGGCCCCUCUCGGGUUACCGAAUUCAGACAAACUCCGAAUGCCAAUUAAUUUAACUUGGGAGUCAGAACAUGGGUGAUAAGGUCCGUGUUCGAAAGGGAAACAGCCCAGACCACCAGCUAAGGUCCCAAAAUAUAUGUUAAGUGGAAAAGGAUGUGGCGUUGCCCAGACAACUAGGAUGUUGGCUUAGAAGCAGCCAUCAUUUAAAGAGUGCGUAAUAGCUCACUAGUCGAGUGACACUGCGCCGAAAAUGUACCGGGGCUAAACAUAUUACCGAAGCUGUGGAUUGUCCUUUGGACAAUGGUAGGAGAGCGUUCUAAGGGCGUUGAAGCAUGAUCGUAAGGACAUGUGGAGCGCUUAGAAGUGAGAAUGCCGGUGUGAGUAGCGAAAGACGGGUGAGAAUCCCGUCCACCGAUUGACUAAGGUUUCCAGAGGAAGGCUCGUCCGCUCUGGGUUAGUCGGGUCCUAAGCUGAGGCCGACAGGCGUAGGCGAUGGAUAACAGGUUGAUAUUCCUGUACCACCUAUAAUCGUUUUAAUCGAUGGGGGGACGCAGUAGGAUAGGCGAAGCGUGCGAUUGGAUUGCACGUCUAAGCAGUAAGGCUGAGUAUUAGGCAAAUCCGGUACUCGUUAAGGCUGAGCUGUGAUGGGGAGAAGACAUUGUGUCUUCGAGUCGUUGAUUUCACACUGCCGAGAAAAGCCUCUAGAUAGAAAAUAGGUGCCCGUACCGCAAACCGACACAGGUAGUCAAGAUGAGAAUUCUAAGGUGAGCGAGCGAACUCUCGUUAAGGAACUCGGCAAAAUGACCCCGUAACUUCGGGAGAAGGGGUGCUCUUUAGGGUUAACGCCCAGAAGAGCCGCAGUGAAUAGGCCCAAGCGACUGUUUAUCAAAAACACAGGUCUCUGCUAAACCGUAAGGUGAUGUAUAGGGGCUGACGCCUGCCCGGUGCUGGAAGGUUAAGAGGAGUGGUUAGCUUCUGCGAAGCUACGAAUCGAAGCCCCAGUAAACGGCGGCCGUAACUAUAACGGUCCUAAGGUAGCGAAAUUCCUUGUCGGGUAAGUUCCGACCCGCACGAAAGGCGUAACGAUUUGGGCACUGUCUCAACGAGAGACUCGGUGAAAUCAUAGUACCUGUGAAGAUGCAGGUUACCCGCGACAGGACGGAAAGACCCCGUGGAGCUUUACUGUAGCCUGAUAUUGAAAUUCGGCACAGCUUGUACAGGAUAGGUAGGAGCCUUUGAAACGUGAGCGCUAGCUUACGUGGAGGCGCUGGUGGGAUACUACCCUAGCUGUGUUGGCUUUCUAACCCGCACNNNNNNNNACUUAUCGUGGUGGGAGACAGUGUCAGGCGGGCAGUUUGACUGGGGCGGUCGCCUCCUAAAAGGUAACGGAGGCGCUCAAAGGUUCCCUCAGAAUGGUUGGAAAUCAUUCAUAGAGUGUAAAGGCAUAAGGGAGCUUGACUGCGAGACCUACAAGUCGAGCAGGGUCGAAAGACGGACUUAGUGAUCCGGUGGUUCCGCAUGGAAGGGCCAUCGCUCAACGGAUAAAAGCUACCCCGGGGAUAACAGGCUUAUCUCCCCCAAGAGUUCACAUCGACGGGGAGGUUUGGCACCUCGAUGUCGGCUCAUCGCAUCCUGGGGCUGUAGUCGGUCCCAAGGGUUGGGCUGUUCGCCCAUUAAAGCGGUACGCGAGCUGGGUUCAGAACGUCGUGAGACAGUUCGGUCCCUAUCCGUCGUGGGCGUAGGAAAUUUGAGAGGAGCUGUCCUUAGUACGAGAGGACCGGGAUGGACAUACCUCUGGUGUACCAGUUGUCGUGCCAACGGCAUAGCUGGGUAGCUAUGUGUGGACGGGAUAAGUGCUGAAAGCAUCUAAGCAUGAAGCCCCCCUCAAGAUGAGAUUUCCCAACUUCGGUUAUAAGAUCCCUCAAAGAUGAUGAGGUUAAUAGGUUCGAGGUGGAAGCAUGGUGACAUGUGGAGCUGACGAAUACUAAUCGAUCGAAGACUUAAUCAA